GACGAACGCUGGCGGCGUGCUUAACACAUGCAAGUCGAACGGAAAGGCCCUGCUUUUGUGGGGUGCUCGAGUGGCGAACGGGUGAGUAACACGUGAGUAACCUGCCCUUGACUUUGGGAUAACUUCAGGAAACUGGGGCUAAUAUCGGAUAGGAGCUCCUGAUGCAUGGUGGGGGUUGGAAAGAUUCGGCGGUUGGGGAUGGUCUCGCGGGUUAUCCGCUUGUUGGUGGGGUAGUGGAUUACCAAGGCUUUGACGGGUAGCCGGCCUGAGAGGGUGACCGGCCACAGUGGGACUGAGAUACGGCCCAGACUCCUACGGGAGGCAGCAGGGGGGAAUAUUGCACAAUGGGCGGAAGCCUGAUGCAGCAACGCCGCGUGCGGGAUGACGGCCUUCGGGUUGUAAACCGCUUUCGCCUGUGACGAAGCGUGAGUGACGGUAAUGGGUAAAGAAGCACCGGCUAACUACGUG
RNAcentral lists this ribosomal RNA (468 nucleotides) under uncultured bacterium. Its description in RNAcentral is "partial 16S ribosomal RNA". It matches the Rfam family "Bacterial small subunit ribosomal RNA", at positions 28 to 507 of the family's 1533-position model. The record is from RNAcentral.